Molecule: ribosomal RNA, 241 nt
Filed under: uncultured Staphylococcus sp.
Lineage: Bacteria; Bacillati; Bacillota; Bacilli; Caryophanales; Staphylococcaceae
Description: partial 16S ribosomal RNA
Rfam family: Bacterial small subunit ribosomal RNA
Source: RNAcentral
CGGACGGGUGAGUAACACGUGGAUAACCUACCUAUAAGACUGGGAUAACUUCGGGAAACCGGAGCUAAUACCGGAUAAUAUAUUGAACCGCAUGGUUCAAUAGUGAAAGACGGUUUUGCUGUCACUUAUAGAUGGAUCCGCGCCGCAUUAGCUAGUUGGUAAAGUAGCGGCUUACCAAGGCAACGAUGCGUAGCCGACCUGAGAGGGUGAUCGGCCACACUGGAACUGAGACACGGUCCAG